RNAcentral lists this ribosomal RNA (1148 nucleotides) under Lepidolejeunea grandiocellata. RNAcentral describes it as "eukaryotic LSU rRNA". The stretch from base 532 to 684 matches the Rfam family "5.8S ribosomal RNA". The record is from RNAcentral. Lineage: Eukaryota; Viridiplantae; Streptophyta; Jungermanniopsida; Porellales; Lejeuneaceae.
CGGUGUUGUUGUGAGAAGUUCAUUAAACCUUAUCAUUUAGAGGAAGGAGAAGUCGUAACAAGGUUUCCGUAGGUGAACCUGCGGAAGGAUCAUUGUACACACGAUCUCCGAAAAACCCUGCGAACCGAUGCAUGUACCCCGAGGGAUCGUGCCCGGAGGCACGAUUGUCGGCGUUGGAGCCCGGAUUCAUGUGCACCUGCCGUGAUCCCUCCCGCUGGUGCGUGGCGGGAUCGAGCGGCUCCGUUCUCGCCGGCGGACUGCCCGGACACGCAUGGCCCCGAGUCUCUCCCGUGGGAUUCGGAGUCUGGAUGGCAUUCCCCUCCUCCGGCGGAGGGGGAGUCCCGGGGGAAAGUCUUUCCAGUCCGUUAGUCGGCUGACGACUCUUCCUCAGAGUGCUCUCUCUCCGCCGGGGCCCUUUUUUUUCUUUCCCCCCAAAGGAAACUGGUGAAACGAACGUGAUGAGAUUGAAGGGAUUUUGGGGAUCGUCUCGACGGUCCUCUGCGUCCUGGAGAAAUUGUGACCAACACCAAUGACUCUCAGCAACGGAUAUCUUGGCUCUUGCAACGAUGAAGAACGCAGCGAAAUGCGAUACCUAGUGUGAAUUGCAGAAUUCCGCGAAUCAUCGAGUUUUUGAACGCAAGUUGCGCCCGAGGCUCGUCCGAGGGCACGCCUGCCUGAGCGUCCGCUCCGACCCACCCACGAGCCCGUGCCCUCCCCCGGGAGGGCAAGAGGUAGCCGUGCGAGUGGAAUUGGUUGUCCGGGAUCUCGCCCGUCCCUCGUCGGGACGGGCUCGAGUCUUCGCGGUCGGCUGAAAAACACGAGCCGUUUGUCAAGCGCGCGUCGGGGCUAGCGGUGCGUCGCGAAAAGGUGUCGUUCUCUCCCGGGCGUUCUCGUCCGGAGACGGACGCUGGCAACAAUAGCGUCGUGCCGCCCCCGGCGGAGUGUGGACUUGGCGAACCGGUGAAUAACAUGGGAACGGUGGGACUCGAGCGUCCUCUUCCCUCCGCGGCUCUCUCUCGCUUGCGAGGGAGGGAACGCGGGGGGAAUGCGCGAGAGUCGGACCGACACGUUGUUGUGACCUCAGAUCAGGCGAGACCACCCGCUGAGUUUAAGCAUAUCACUAAGCGGAGGAAAAGAAACUAACAAGG